Molecule: unclassified non-coding RNA, 395 nt
Filed under: soil metagenome
Description: partial contains 5.8S ribosomal RNA, internal transcribed spacer 2, and large subunit ribosomal RNA
Rfam family: 5.8S ribosomal RNA (bases 1-122)
Source: RNAcentral
GAUGAAGAACGUAGCGAAAUGCGAUACUUGGUGUGAAUUGCAGAAUCCCGUGAACCAUCGAGUUUUUGAACGCAAGUUGCGCCCGAAGCCAUCAGGUUGAGGGCACGUCUGCCUGGGCGUCACAUAUCGUUGCCCAAUGCCUAUUGCAGUGCAAUAGGAAUUUCUAGGGCGAAUGAUGGCUUCCCGUGAGCGUUGUUGCCUCGCGGUUGGUUGAAAAUCGAGUCCUUGGUAGGGUGUGCCAUGGUAGAUGGUGGUCGAGUUAGAACGAUACCGAUCAUGUGCAUGCUCCCCAAAAUAUGGCCUCUAUGACCCACACGCGUCUUUUGACGCUCAUGACGAGACCUCAGGUCAGGCGGGGCUACCCGCUGAAUUUAAGCAUAUCAAUAAGCGGAGGA